Long non-coding RNA from Oreochromis aureus, 1220 nucleotides. The record is from Ensembl. NCBI's taxonomy places the organism in Eukaryota, Metazoa, Chordata, Actinopteri, Cichliformes, Cichlidae.
UGAUUUCAGAAGCUUUUAUUGAUUUAUCUUUGUUCUCAGCUUGAAGACAGAAUAACAUUCAUAUUUAAUGAUAUUUGUAGUAUAUUUGCUAAUUCUCACCAAUCACUAACUGGCGUAUCUUUACUCAUUUCUCUGGAUUAUCAUGAAUUCUGCCAAUCCCUACUUACUAAUGCCUUUGUUUGUUUCUCUAUUUUACAUUUUUUAAUGACUUACUGUUCAGUGUUAUCAUUUUACUGUUCAUUCCUUACUGUGAAGCAAUUUGGUGUACCCCCUGGCUUUAAACAUGUUAUAUAGUAAAAUUGCUUUGUAUUGUACAUAUAUAAAUAUAUAUAUAUGUGUGUGUGUGUGUGUGAACAUAAGACUGUUAAGGUGCUAUGAAUAAUUUGCAAAAAAUAAUUUACAUUUCUUAACAAAUAUUUCUGUCAAAGUGUGAACUAAUAAAUGAGCAGAAAUGUUUCCAGCAGCUGCUUUACUUUAACUAUGUUUCAUCAUUUUCAUCAUCUAUACUUAGAUUAAAUCUAUGAAAAUCACUGUGUGAAUUAAGAAACCUACGAGACAAGAUGACAGACAGUCACUGCUUCUAAACAGUGUAGUGCAGUUGGAAUAUACAAACUACAGUGGGAGGACUCAUUAAAGAUUAAUAGCUUAUACAUGUUUAUUUGAAAACACUGGAGGACACAGCAGAGUUCCCUGUGGUGGUGAAAGAAGAAGAAAAAAGAAAAGAAGAAGAAAAGAAUUAAUAAUGAAUAAUGGGCAAAAAACACUAGGGUCUUGUAAACCUACGAGACAAGAUGACAGACAGUCACUGCUUCUAAACACUGUGGUGCAGCUGGAAUAUACAAACUACAGUGGGAGGACUCAUUAAAGAUUAAUAGCUUAUACAUGUUUAUUUGAAAACACUGGAGGACACAACAGAGUUCCCUGUGGUGGUGAAAGAAGAAGAAAAAAGAAAAAAAAGAAGAAAAGAAUUAAUAAUGAAUAAUGGGCAAAAAACACUAGGGUCUUGUGUCCUACAGCUUUUGUUUCAUCGUUUCCAUCAUCAUCAUUUAGAAAACAUUGGAGGACACAGCAGAGUUCCCUGUGGUGGUGAAAGAGAGAAGGUGACAUGAAAAGAAAAAGAAGAAGCACCAUUAGACAGAUAUACACAGUGUCUUUUUAUUAUCUAUAUUAUAAUCUUCACACUUCUGCUAGAAAGUCACUGUUGGUUUUUCUAAACUUUG